RNAcentral lists this ribosomal RNA (253 nucleotides) under uncultured bacterium. RNAcentral's name for it is "partial 16S ribosomal RNA". It matches the Rfam family "Bacterial small subunit ribosomal RNA", at positions 524 to 776 of the family's 1533-position model. The record is from RNAcentral.
UACGUAGGGUGCGAGCGUUGUUCGGAAUCACUGGGCGUAAAGCGCGCGUAGGCGGACCUGCAAGUCGGGGGUGAAAGCCCGAGGCUCAACCUCGGAACUGCCUUCGAUACUGCGGGUCUCGAGUCCGGGAGAGGUGAGUGGAAUUCCUAGUGUAGAGGUGAAAUUCGUAGAUAUUAGGAAGAACACCAGUGGCGAAGGCGGCUCACUGGCCCGGUACUGACGCUGAGGCGCGAAAGCGUGGGGAGCAAACAGG